GUACAGGUUUUUGCUCUUUCUCUUCCGGGAGGCUUCGUCAUCAUCCCCAACGGUGUCAGCCCCGCUCAUCUGCGGAGAGAAGACAGACACGAUGCAGUCUGGGCACCCAGGAACUCCUGCCUAAGUAAACAGAGGCUCAGAGACCCAACAUUCCCUGCCACCAGCCCCUUCCAUCCCCAAAGCCCCCACCCGCGGCACACAGGUGAGGGAGGGAAACCCCACUGCUGGGAACAGCCUGGCCAUGAAGUGGAAUCGGCCUGGCAGACUCUCCGGCCACAGGGAUCUCCUCCUGGGACAGUCAGGUCCCCAGCUCACUGGGGAGAAGCCAGACGGCUGGCACUCAGGACAGAGGCUUCAUUGCAGGCAGUGAGCAGGUGAGAGGGCAGGGCUUCUGCUGUGUCACUAGGCCAAUCCCUGCCCCUCUCUAAGCCUCUAUUCCUUAAUUUCUAAAAUCAGGAUCAUAAUGAUUAAGUCAGGAUUCUGAAGUUCAAAGGAGACCUGAGAUGGUCAGCAGUGUAUAAAAUAAAUCAUUACACAGGCCUGAGUGCACCUCUCUUGCCUUAUAGCUUUCCAUGGCUCCCUAGUGCCCUCGGGAUAACAUUCAAACUCCGUAACACGACUGGAUCUACCAUCUUAGGAUCAGGGCAGAAAGUUCCAUUCAGUUAUUCCUUCAGUUAUCUCUCCAGCCUGGCCCCUACUUCAGCAACCUCCUCAACUCUGCCUUCCAACCAACAGAAGGUCUUCAUCUCCAUGUGCAAUUCCUUCCUCGGGGGAUGCUUUUGUGAGUCUCCCACCUGCAUGGAUGGAUGGAUGGAUGGAUGGAUGGAUGGAUGGAUGGAUGGAUAUGUGGAUAGGUGGAUGGAUAGAUGAGUGGAUGGAUGGAUGGAUGGAUGAAUAUAUGGGUGGGUGGGUGGAUAGAUGGAUGGAUGGGUGGAUGGAUGGAUGAGUGGAUGGAUAUAUGAAUGCAUGGGUGAAUAGAUGGAUGGGUGGGUGGGUGGGUGGAUGGUAGAUGAAUGCAUGGGUGAAUAGAUGGAUGGGUGGGUGGGUGGGUGGAUGGAUGAAGGAGUGGAUGAGUGGAUGGAUGGAUGAAUUACACCUUCAUUUAGCUCAUACUAUAGGCCAGACCCUGGAUGGGGCAUAAUUCAGAUACUAUCUCAUUAAACCUCACAAUAAACCUAUAAAGUAAAUAGAGGCUCAGAGAAUUUAAGUCACUUCCCCAAGGAGACCCAGCAUGUAAGUGACAGAGCUGGAAUCUGCCUCAAUUCAAGGCCUGUGUUUCUCCACCAGAGGAUGCUGCUACUCAAAAAUGCAAGGUCAGAACACAUUUUAAUGUUUCCUGUGAAAGACUCGGGAAGUGCUGCCUCCUUCCUGAGAAUGCUGCCCCACCAGAGUUGUAAACAUACAUGUGUGUACGUGCACACAGAGGCACACACCGUAUGGUGUGUGAUUUCAGAGCAAGUGUUUGGAACCAGACCUGGAUAUAAAUCCUGCUUUCACCAACUUUGGGUAAGUUUCCUAGCCUCUCGGCUUCCAUUUUUUUAGCUAUGGCUUAGGCAUAGUGACAGCCACUUCACAGGGCUGAUGGAAGGUUCACCAGGAUAAACUCUGGACCCCAAGGCCCAGUCCUGGCACCCACGCUAACCUCAGUAACCAGUGGUCAUUGCCCAGUGAGUGUUACCACUGUCACCAUUCAGGGCACCCUUCAGUGCACAUACAGGCUGCACUCAUGCUGGCCUGGCAAGGCCAUGCCCAAGGCCCCCACCCGUGGGAAAGAGCCCUCGGGCCCUGGGCUUCCUCCCAUUCUAACCUCAGCUUCCGUACUUUAUCGGCUCCACACAAUGGGCCUGGGGACCACUCCCACCCAGCCGCCAUCCUCAGCCUCUGCGCUGCUGGGAAAUGGGCUCUUCCUUCCACUGUGGGGAGGAGAGUGUCUUCAGCAGGGACUGACCCAAGCCUAGCAGCCUGACAGAGGGGCUGGGCAGCUCUGGCCCUAGGAGUCAGCCCCCUGGGCUGCUGGGGAAACCCCAGCACCAAAAAGCUGCAUCAAUGCCUGCCCAGGGCCUAGUCUGCAAAGGCCCUCCAAAGGGAUUCUCCUUUCCAUCUUCUCCCCACUGUCUCACUAUGUGACCUUGUCCAGCUGAAAAGCAGAUGGAGGUGAGUCCAGGACCAUACAGCCCUUCCUUCACUCCAGGCAGAAUCCCUGGGCCCUGCCCAGCCUCAUCCAGCCACCUCCAGGGACUAGGAGCUCACCACCUCUUGGAACAAUAAUUAUAAUUCUUACUGUAAUUAUAACUGUAAUUAUAGUAAUGAUUAAGAGUGUAGAUUUUUAAUUGCCUGGAUUUGAAGCUUAGCUCAAUCAUUUAUUAGCUCAUUGACCUUAGCUCAGUUACAUCCCUCUCUGUGCCUCAGUUUCCUUAUUUGUAAAAUGCGGGUAAUAACCGGACUUCCCUCAAAGGGCUGUGGUGAGGAUUAUGUAAGUUAACACGGGGACGUGCUCAGCACAGCGCCCAACACACAGCAGUGAGCAAGUACUCUCAGCUAGCAUGGGUUUUGCCAUUAUUUAUUGAGCGUUCACUACAUGUCAGGUGCCGGGCCAAAGUGUUUUAACAUACUUUAUCUCAUUUAAUCUUGGCAACGAUUCUAAGAGCUAGUUACUGAUAUUUCCCCUCAGUGUGCAGCUGAGGAAACAGAUGCCCAGGGCAGUUUGAUAACUGGCCUGGGCUCUCUGAACUAACAAGUAGCAGAGAACUGUGGUCUGGGUCCAGAGCCCACUAGUGACUGAGCGCUCGUCUGUGAGCAGGGCUCAGCUGGUUUCCCUAUUGGUCCUGGUCGGACUUCUGGGGCUCCCUGGCCAUCCAUGGCUGCCCUCUCCGAUCCAGCCCAGGCUGGCAGGCCCCAUGGAACCACGUGGAAACAGUGGAUUUAAACUCUAUACUUACUUGUUUACACAUCCGAAAUAAUUCUUUAGGCUUUUUAAAAAUAGGAGGCUUGAAGGUAUUAUCGUCUUGGAGCUGGAAGGCAUUUUUGGGGUCCUCUCGUCUGAUCUCUGACCUACGUGGGAGCUUAGUGAAACAGGGCUGGCACCCUCUGUGGACCACCUCUGCCCAGGCCAGUCCCCUGCAGGGGAGGAAGGAAGCAGGGCCAGGGAAGGGCUGCAGCCUGUGGUCUCCUCACUGUCAAAGAAUAGCCCAUGACCCUCUGUGCUGAGCCAGAUAGGCUGGACUAGAAUUCAAUGGCAGCAUCCUGGACCCAAACACAAUUAUUCUCCGGGGCUUCCUUGACUCCCCAGGAAGAAGGCCUGUGAUCUGCUCUGCAGGGCCUCCAGGGAGCAGCCAGGAAGGCAGGGGUCUGGCGGCAGGGGGCACCAUGAGACCACUCAACUCAGCACAGGGCGCCACACCCAGGGGAUGGCCAGCUGGAGAACCAUGGCGGGGAGUGGGGGCAGGGGGCUCUCCCUCUCUGGACUCAGUCAGCCCAUCUGUGAGAUCACCAUGGUCGAGCAGACUAUCUCUGAGGUCUGCCUGUUCUGACAUUCCUACUCACAGUAGAAAUUGCUCAGCACAUAAGAGGGCAGGAUAACAGGGGUGUGGACCGGAGACAACGUCGAGACUGAAUGUCACCCUGUGGCAGGCAGCAUGUACUCUGGGCAGCCUCAGCUUAUCCGCACAGCAGCACAAAUGACCAGCCCAAGCUUUCUACGUACUGCGCCCUGGAACCCUUGGGACAACUCCCGGGGGACUCCGUGUUCCAUUAAUAAGAGAAAACCGAAGCUCAGAGAAAGAAGCAACUUGGCCAAGGUCUCAGAGCCAGGGAGGAGGAGGCAGAGCUGAGACUUGAACCUGGGUCUGUCUGACUCCACAGCCUGAACACUUCACCCCUCCCCUCUUCACCUCUUGCCUGGCAUUGCCUAGGAAUAGUGGCCCAUCAGCAUCAGGGGACCCUCCCAGAAGAGCCAGGCCAAAGCCAGGAAGAUAGAAGUCAUGGGGGAACCUGCCACUGUCCCUCUGCCAGUCCCCCACCCCCGGCCCCUCAUCAGCAUGAGGUCUCAGAGUCUAGGGCAGAGCCACAGAGGACUGACUAGACAAUGGUGAGGCCUUGUCCAGUGCCAUCAUCACUUGCUGCUGUGUGGCUGGGGACAAAAUAUCUCUCACUAGCCUCAGCCUCCCACUGUAAGCCAAGUGCCUGUCCACUUUGCAGCAGUGUCAGGAAGGUGAGAAAUGGGGUCUGGUGGUACUUCGAAUGGCGGCACAGCCAGUACUACCCUGGUUACUGCUCUUCUCCCCCUCCCCCUCCACAUAACAUGAUUACCAUUUAUGCAGCACCCACCAGGUGCUGAGCGCCAGGUACUGCCCUAAAUGUUUUACCUGUGUUAAGCUAUUUAAUUUUCCCAGCAACCCUAGGAAGGAGGCAUUAUUACCAUACCCAUUUCACCAAGGAGGAAACUGUGGCUCACAGAGGGGCAGGGACUUGCCCAAGGCCCAGUACCAGUAAGAGAUGGAGCUAGACCACGGUGUUUGUCCCAUCCGGGGCUUCAUCUCCUCUUGACAAGUUUCCUACUGAAGCUACUGGUGGAAGAGGGCAGGAUGUGAAUGGCAAAGGGCUCAGGAACUGGUGUGUGGAAGCCACAUGGAAGGGUGGCCACCACCAGGCUGGGGGCAGCCUCUGAUGUCUCUGCCAGCUCAGCCACUCAAACCCAAGAAAGGAAGUGACCGGCUAAAAGUUGGUGGGACAGGGGAGGGUGCCAGUGGGAACCUUGGGCACCCAAAGGAGGAAGCUGAGACAAGAGAGAGCUGGUCCAGGCCUGCUAGACUCCCAGGCAGGAGUAUGUGUCCCAAAAUAGGAGCCGAGGUCAACUGAGCUGGGGAAUUAGAUAAAUGCAUACAUAUGAAUGUGUGUGAAUUUAUCUGUAUAUAAAUAGUUUUAUUGGAGCAAGUGUGGUGAGGGGAAUAGAACUGGGAAGGGUGUAGUGGGGGAAUCAGGAUUGGGAAGCCCAAGGCAGGUGGGCCUCAACCGCCCUCCAAAGAGGAGUGGCCAGGCCUGAUCUGAAUGAGCCUGAGGCCUUGCCUUGGAAGGACAGCGUUCCGGACUCUCUCCUGUAGAAACCAUCAAGAAAUGGCCUAAGAUGGUGAUAUUCAAACUUUGGCAAGAUCAUGAUCCCUCGGGGCAUGUUUAAAAUAUAGGGUCUGGGCACCACCCCUAGAGAUUCUGAUUCCAGAGUUCUGGGUAUGGGGACUAGGAAUCACAUAUUAAUUACCUCCCCUUGGUGAUUCCGGAGCACACCACAGUGUGAGAACCACACACGCUUACAGAUGAGGAAACGGAGAUUUAGUUCCAAGGCCAAAGUUCAAGACCCUUUUCUGGAGGGCCCCAGCCUGCCCUGUCAGAAUGACUAGCUUUCAGCAGAAGGCAUCUCCCCAGAAGGUAAGUCUGCCUUCUUGCUAGUGGCUAAGAAGCUAAGCAGGCUUCUGAGGACAUGUCCCAACUUGGUGAGGAAGUAUGCUGGAAUCCAUUAAUGAUGUCUGCCAUGGGUUGGAGGGAGGAAUAGCAGCACCUGUGCCAGGCAUCUGCCCUUUAGGAAUGCUCUGCUCUAGCCAAAGAAUGCUUGCCUCUACCUCUCUGUUUAUUCUAAUCCUGUUCAUCCUUCAAGGCCAAGCUGAGAGGUAUCUUCCUCCAGAAGCUUUCCCUGAUGGCUUUAGGCCCUGGGGUCUGUCCUCCUGAAGUUCUAGAUCUCUGAGUCAGUUGUGCUCCAUGGGCACUGAGCACCCCUACUCACCUAGCCUCACACCAACACCUUGCACUGGCUGUUGCAUUUCAAGAGAAGGAGUGGGGCCCAGCAUUCCCUGAGGGCCGCCUCUCAAGCGGCUAGUGUUAUCAGGCACCAGCCUCUUCCAUUCAUCCUCAACCAUUCUGGGAUGUGAGUGCUAUUAACCCCUACUUUUCAGAGAAGAAAACUAUGGCUCAGAGGAGUUGAGUGACUCAACCAAAGCCACAUAGUAAGAAACAGAGCCCAGACCCAAACUAGCUGGUAGGCUUCAAGAUCAUGGCGCAAUCUGUUCACUGUUAGGCCACUUUCAAGGCUCACACAGUUAACUUAUUUCUCUCAGGUUGAGACCAGCCUCACACACUUCUGUGGCUCCUGCCAUGUUGCAGAGCGCAGGGCCUGGUACACAGCAGGAAAUCCAUAAAUACUUAUUCAUCUACAUAUAAAUAUUCACGAGAGGCAAACGGUGUGGUGGUUGGUUAAGAGCACUGGCCCUGGAACCAGAUUCUAAUUCUAGUUCAGACACUGAUACACUGUGUAACCUGGAGCAAGUUAGAUAACCUCUCUUUGCCUCGGUUUCCUCUGCUGUAAAAUGGGCACAAAAAUACUAUCUACUUCAAAGGGCUGUUGUGAGAGUUAAUGAGUUAAUGUAAACUGCUUAGGAUAAUGUGGACACGGAAUAAAUGUGUGUUGUCAUUGUGACUGGCUGAUGGAUUUCUAGUCUGGCUAGGCUGUAACUCUAUUUCUCCAGCUACUAUCUCAGAUCUUUUAAAUCCAAAUACACAAUGGCCUGGGCUAAGCUACACCUGCUCUGCUUUCUGUGGGGACCAGUGGAGCUAUAAGAACACAGCAUCUGGAAUCCUAAAGUCAUGUGUUUAAGUCCAUGCUCUGCCUUCUUGGUCCCAUUGGGCCUCAGUUUUAUCUUCUGUCCAACAGGUGGAAAGUUCGCUGGGAGGCUGCCAGGAUAGUGGGGGUGGAACAUGGUGACUUCUCAUUCCCUGCAGCCCCUGGGCCAGCCCUCCCCACAUUGCAUGUAUCCUUCUCCCUCCCCCUUUAGCUUUCUCACCUUCCUGUGUCCUGUGAAGAAGAGGGAAAGGUGGUGCAUGGAGCCACCAUUGCGGCCCAGCUCUUUCUUGAGGGUGCUGGGCGAAGGCAUG
This 6918-nucleotide long non-coding RNA is filed under the name Homo sapiens (human). RNAcentral's name for it is "HSALNT0154238". Lineage: Eukaryota; Metazoa; Chordata; Mammalia; Primates; Hominidae. The record is from RNAcentral.